RNAcentral lists this ribosomal RNA (255 nucleotides) under Rugamonas fusca. RNAcentral describes it as "partial 16S ribosomal RNA". It matches the Rfam family "Bacterial small subunit ribosomal RNA", at positions 881 to 1140 of the family's 1533-position model. Lineage: Bacteria; Pseudomonadati; Pseudomonadota; Betaproteobacteria; Burkholderiales; Oxalobacteraceae. The record is from RNAcentral.
UACGGUCGCAAGAUUAAAACUCAAAGGAAUUGACGGGGACCCGCACAAGCGGUGGAUGAUGUGGAUUAAUUCGAUGCAACGCGAAAAACCUUACCUACCCUUGACAUGGCAGGAAUCCCUGAGAGAUUGGGGAGUGCUCGAAAGAGAACCUGCACACAGGUGCUGCAUGGCUGUCGUCAGCUCGUGUCGUGAGAUGUUGGGUUAAGUCCCGCAACGAGCGCAACCCUUGUCAUUAGUUGCUACGAAAGGGCACUC